This 401-nucleotide ribosomal RNA is filed under the name uncultured bacterium. RNAcentral's name for it is "bacterial SSU rRNA". It matches the Rfam family "Bacterial small subunit ribosomal RNA", at positions 355 to 772 of the family's 1533-position model. The record is from RNAcentral.
UCGGGAAUUUUGGGCAAUGGGCGAAAGCCUGACCCAGCAACGCCGCGUGAAGGAUGAAGUAUUUCGGUAUGUAAACUUCGAAAGAAUAGGAAGAAUAAAUGACGGUACUAUUUAUAAGGUCCGGCUAACUACGUGCCAGCAGCCGCGGUAAUACGUAGGGACCAAGCGUUGUUCGGAUUUACUGGGCGUAAAGGGCGCGUAGGCGGCAUGACAAGUCACUUGUGAAAUCUCUGGGCUUAACCCAGAACGGCCAAGUGAUACUGUCGCGCUAGAGUGCAGAAGGGGCAAUCGGAAUUCUUGGUGUAGCGGUGAAAUGCGUAGAUAUCAAGAGGAACACCUGAGGUGAAGACGGGUUGCUGGGCUGACACUGACGCUGAGGCGCGAAAGCCAGGGGGAGCAAA